Molecule: non-coding RNA, 88 nt
Filed under: Desulfuromonadaceae bacterium
Lineage: Bacteria; Pseudomonadati; Thermodesulfobacteriota; Desulfuromonadia; Desulfuromonadales; Desulfuromonadaceae
Description: c-di-GMP sequence
Rfam family: c-di-GMP-I riboswitch aptamer
About the family: GEMM was predicted in a large-scale screen for bacterial structured RNA regulatory elements. Genes associated with GEMM are involved in a diverse array of functions, including chemotaxis regulation, signal transduction, secretion and chitin.
Source: RNAcentral
UUGAAACAUCGGCAAACCAUCCGAAAGGGUGGGACGCAAAGCCACUGGCCUAAAUUCCGAUACGGAAUACGGCGGCAGGGUUGCUCUC